This 918-nucleotide ribosomal RNA is filed under the name uncultured bacterium. Its description in RNAcentral is "bacterial SSU rRNA". It matches the Rfam family "Bacterial small subunit ribosomal RNA", at positions 117 to 1042 of the family's 1533-position model. The record is from RNAcentral.
GUAUAGAACCUACCUUUUACUGGAGAAUAGCCCAGAGAAAUUUGGAUUAAUGCUCCAUAGUAUCAUUUUUUGGCAUCCUUAGAUGAUUAAAGAUUUAUCGGUAAAAGAUGGCUAUGCGUUCUAUUAGCUAGUUGGUAUGGUAACGGCAUACCAAGGCGACGAUAGAUAGGGGUCCUGAGAGGGAGAUCCCCCACACUGGUACUGAGACACGGACCAGACUCCUACGGGAGGCAGCAGUGAGGAAUAUUGGACAAUGGAGGCAACUCUGAUCCAGCCAUGCCGCGUGUAGGAAGACUGCCCUAUGGGUUGUAAACUACUUUUAUAGAGGAAGAAACCGCUCUACGUGUAGAGCUCUGACGGUACUCUACGAAUAAGGAUCGGCUAACUCCGUGCCAGCAGCCGCGGUAAUACGGAGGAUCCAAGCGUUAUCCGGAAUCAUUGGGUUUAAAGGGUCCGUAGCGGGUUUGUAAGUCAGUGGUGAAAGUUUUCGGCUCAACCGGAAAAUUGCCAUUGAUACUGCAAGUCUUGAAUCGUUGUGAAGUGGUUAGAAUGUGUAGUGUAGCGGUGAAAUGCAUAGAUAUUACACAGAAUACCGAUUGCGAAGCAGAUCACUAACAAUGUAUUGACGCUAAGGGACGAAAGCGUGGGUAGCGAACAGGAUUAGAUACCCUGGUAGUCCACGCCGUAAACGAUGGUUACUAGCUGUUCGGAUUUCGGUCUGAGUGGCUAAGCGAAAGUGAUAAGUAACCCACCUGGGGAGUACGUUCGCAAGAAUGAAACUCAAAGGAAUUGACGGGGGCCCGCACAAGCGUGGAGCAUGUGGUUUAAUUCGAUGAUACGCGAGGAACCUUACCAGGGCUUAAAUGUAGAUUGACAGGUUUAGAGAUAGACUUUUCUUCGGACAAUUUACAAGGUGCU